GACGAACGCUGGCGGCGUGCUUAACACAUGCAAGUCGAACGGAAAGGCCCUGCUUUUGUGGGGUGCUCGAGUGGCGAACGGGUGAGUAACACGUGAGUAACCUGCCCUUGACUUUGGGAUAACUUCAGGAAACUGGGGCUAAUACCGGAUAGGAGCUCCUGCUGCAUGGUGGGGGUUGGAAAGUUUCGGCGGUUUGGGAUGGACUCGCGGCUGAUCAGCUUGUUGGUGGGGGAGUGGCUUACCAAGGCUUUGACGGGUAGCCGGCCUGAGAGGGUGACCGGCCACAUUGGGACUGAGAUACGGCCCAGACUCCUACGGGAGGCAGCAGUGGGGAAUAUUGCACAAUGGGCGGAAGCCUGAUGCAGCAACGCCGCGUGCGGGAUGACGGCCUUCGGGUUGUAAACCGCUUUCGCCUGUGACGAAGCGUGAGUGACGGUAAUGGGUAAAGAAGCACCGGCUAACUACGUG
Molecule: ribosomal RNA, 468 nt
Filed under: uncultured bacterium
Lineage: Bacteria
Description: partial 16S ribosomal RNA
Rfam family: Bacterial small subunit ribosomal RNA
Source: RNAcentral